UACGGAGGGGGCAAGCGUUGUUCGGAUUUACUGGGCGUAAAGGGUGUGUAGGCGGCUGGAUAAGUCUGGUGUGAAAUCUUCACCGCUCAACGGGAAGGGGUCACUGGAAACUGUUCAGCUUGAGUAUGGUAGAGGCAAACGGAAUUCCUGGUGUAGCGGUGGAAUGUGUAGAUAUCAGGAAGAACACCGGUGGCGAAGGCGGUUUGCUGGGCCAUCACUGACGCUGAGACACGAAAGCGUGGGGAGCAAACGGG
Molecule: ribosomal RNA, 254 nt
Filed under: uncultured bacterium
Lineage: Bacteria
Description: partial 16S ribosomal RNA
Rfam family: Bacterial small subunit ribosomal RNA
Source: RNAcentral